RNAcentral lists this ribosomal RNA (440 nucleotides) under uncultured bacterium. RNAcentral describes it as "partial 16S ribosomal RNA". It matches the Rfam family "Bacterial small subunit ribosomal RNA", at positions 338 to 795 of the family's 1533-position model. The record is from RNAcentral.
CCUACGGGUGGCAGCAGUGGGGAAUAUUGCUCAAUGGGGGAAACCCUGAUGCAGCCACGCCGCGUGAGUGAUGAAGUAUCUCUGUAUUUUAAGCUCUAUCUGUAGGGAAGAAAAUGACAGUACCUGACUGAUAAUCUCCGGCUAACUACGUGCCAGCUGCCGCGGUAAUACGGAGGGGGCAACCGUUAUCCGGAUUUACUGGGUGUAAAGGGGGCGUAGACGGCUGCGCAAGUCAGAAGUGAAAUCCCGGGGCUCAACCGCGGGAUUGCAUUUGAAACUGUAUAGCUAGAGUGCAGGAGAGGUAAGUGGAAUUCCUGGUGUAGCGGUGAAAUGCGUAGAUAUUAGGAGGAACACCGGUGGCGAAGGCGGCUUACUGGACUGUAACUGACGUUGAGGCUCGAAAGUGUGGGGAGCAAACAGGAUUAGAUACCCUUGUAGUC